Molecule: ribosomal RNA, 549 nt
Filed under: uncultured bacterium
Lineage: Bacteria
Description: bacterial SSU rRNA
Rfam family: Bacterial small subunit ribosomal RNA
Source: RNAcentral
AGGGAAUCUUCGGCAAUGGACGGAAGUCUGACCGAGCAACGCCGCGUGAGUGAAGAAGGUUUUCGGAUCGUAAAGCUCUGUUGUAAGAGAAGAACGAGUGUGAGAGUGGAAAGUUCACACUGUGACGGUAUCUUACCAGAAAGGGACGGCUAACUACGUGCCAGCAGCCGCGGUAAUACGUAGGUCCCGAGCGUUGUCCGGAUUUAUUGGGCGUAAAGCGAGCGCAGGCGGUUAGAUAAGUCUGAAGUUAAAGGCUGUGGCUCAACCAUAGUUCGCUUUGGAAACUGUCAAACUUGAGUGCAGAAGGGGAGAGUGGAAUUCCAUGUGUAGCGGUGAAAUGCGUAGAUAUAUGGAGGAACACCGGUGGCGGAAGCGGCUCUCUGGUUUGUAACUGACGCUGAGGCUCGAAAGCGUGGGGAGCGAACAGGAUUAGAUACCCUGGUAGUCCACGCCGUAAACGAUGAGUGCUAGGUGUUGGGUCCUUUCCGGGAUUCAGUGCCGCAGCUAACGCAUUAAGCACUCCGCCUGGGGAGUACGACCGCAAGGUUG